RNAcentral lists this ribosomal RNA (253 nucleotides) under uncultured bacterium. RNAcentral's name for it is "partial 16S ribosomal RNA". It matches the Rfam family "Bacterial small subunit ribosomal RNA", at positions 524 to 776 of the family's 1533-position model. The record is from RNAcentral.
UACGGGGGGUGCAAGCGUUACUCGGAAUCAUUGGGCGUAAAGGGCGCGCAGGCGGUCUGGCAAGUCAGAUGUGAAAGCCCGGGGCUCAACCCCGGAAGUGCAUUUGAUACUGCCAGACUUGAGUAUGGGAGAGGGAAGUGGAAUUCCUGGUGUAGAGGUGAAAUUCGUAGAUAUCAGGAGGAACACCGGUGGCGAAGGCGACUUCCUGGACCAAUACUGACGCUGAGGCGAGAAGGCGUGGGGAGCAAACAGG